RNAcentral lists this ribosomal RNA (253 nucleotides) under uncultured bacterium. RNAcentral's name for it is "partial 16S ribosomal RNA". It matches the Rfam family "Bacterial small subunit ribosomal RNA", at positions 524 to 776 of the family's 1533-position model. The record is from RNAcentral.
UACGUAGGGACCAAGCGUUGUUCGGAUUUACUGGGCGUAAAGGGCGCGUAGGCGGCGUGUUGAGUCAGCUGUGAAAUCUCCGAGCUUAACUCGGAACGGUCAGCUGAUACUGAUGUGCUAGAGUGCAGAAGGGGCAAUCGGAAUUCUUGGUGUAGCGGUGAAAUGCGUAGAUAUCAAGAGGAACACCUGAGGUGAAGACGGGUUGCUGGGCUGACACUGACGCUGAGGCGCGAAAGCCAGGGGAGCAAACGGG